This is a long non-coding RNA of Dreissena polymorpha, 748 nucleotides long. RefSeq lists it as uncharacterized. Lineage: Eukaryota; Metazoa; Mollusca; Bivalvia; Myida; Dreissenidae. The record is from RefSeq and is a predicted model, not a curated record. The transcript is spliced from 2 exons.
CUGUGACCUUGAAUGUAAAAAUGUUAAAGUUCUUAUUUCAUGUUAUAACUUUGGUAUGCUUGUACCUAGAGUCUUCAAACUUGAAAUAAAGAUUGGCCAGUACUAGAAGAUGACCACUGGUCAUUUCAAUGUCAUUCAUUUGAAGGUCAAGGUCACUGUGACCUUAAAUGUUAAAAUGUUAAAAUUGUUAUAACUUUGGUAUGCUUGGACAUAGAGUCUUCAAACUUGACAUGAAGGUUUGCAAGCACACUUAGAUGACCACUGGUCAUUUCAAGGUCAUUCAUUCUAAGGUCAAGGUCACUGUGACCUUGAAUGUAAAAAUGUUAAAGUUCUUAUAACUUUGGUAGGUAAAAAUGUUAAAGUUCUUAUUCCAUGUUAUAACUUUGGUAUGCUUGUACCUAGAGUCUUCAAACUUGACAUAAAGGUUGGCCAGUACUAGAAGAUCACCACUGCUCAUUUCAAUGUCAUUCAUUUGAAGGUCAAGGUCACUGUGACCUUCAAUGUUAAAAUACUAUCAUUCAAGCUUGGAUCAUAUUUAUGUGUCCAAUCUAUCUGCUAGAACUGGUGUGAUAGAAACCUUUUGGAGUGAUCAUAAGGCUGUCUGGAUUUCUGUGUAGGUAUGUGAAAGCAAAACAAUAAAUAGUAUUAUUUCAUCUAAGUUUAUUUUCUUACAUUUGAUAAUGAAAUUGAUGGAAACUUCAAACAAUAUCUUACUAAUUUGCUAAUAAAAAAAUUGAGAUCAAACUUU